This 291-nucleotide long non-coding RNA is filed under the name Capsicum annuum. RNAcentral's name for it is "long non-coding RNA (CANN_LNC013141)". The record is from RNAcentral. Lineage: Eukaryota; Viridiplantae; Streptophyta; Magnoliopsida; Solanales; Solanaceae.
CACAGUAAAGGCUUUUCAUAGAACGUACAUCCAAAUCAUUGCUCAAACUUAAAAAUGUAUAUACAAGCAAGCGUCUAAGUUUGGCCCUUAUUCCAGCAGUUUCUACGUUCACUAGGUUUCCAGUCACAUUACUACACAAUAACAAUAGCCUUCACAUUACUACGUUCACUAGGUUUCCAGUCACAUUACUACAAUAACAAUAGCCUUCAACCUAGGGAGGCUAUAAGAUACACAGCUAGAUAAUAGGAAUAGUGACUACAUGCCCUGAUAUAUACAAAAGAAUAUAACUAC